Molecule: ribosomal RNA, 490 nt
Filed under: Xanthomonas sp. A5(2010)
Lineage: Bacteria; Pseudomonadati; Pseudomonadota; Gammaproteobacteria; Lysobacterales; Lysobacteraceae
Description: bacterial SSU rRNA
Rfam family: Bacterial small subunit ribosomal RNA
Source: RNAcentral
GAGUUUGAUCCUGGCUCAGAGUGAACGCUGGCGGUAGGCCUAACACAUGCAAGUCGAACGGCAGCACAGAGGAGCUUGCUCCUUGGGUGGCGAGUGGCGGACGGGUGAGGAAUACAUCGGAAUCUACUUUUUCGUGGGGGAUAACGUAGGGAAACUUACGCUAAUACCGCAUACGACCUACGGGUGAAAGCAGGGGACCUUCGGGCCUUGCGCGAUUGAAUGAGCCGAUGUCGGAUUAGCUAGUUGGCGGGGUAAAGGCCCACCAAGGCGACGAUCCGUAGCUGGUCUGAGAGGAUGAUCAGCCACACUGGAACUGAGACACGGUCCAGACUCCUACGGGAGGCAGCAGUGCGGAAUAUUGGACAAUGGGCGCAAGCCUGAUCCAGCCAUACCGCGUGGGUGAAGAAGGCCUUCGGGUUGUAAAGCCCUUUUGUUGGGAAAGAAAUCCAGCCGGCUAAUACCUGGUUGGGAUGACGGUACUCAAAGAAUA